GCUCAACAAAUGGUGCUGUUCUCCCACAUUUAAACCAGUGACAGGGCAGGAUAAGAUGGUAUCAGUGCCUUCCCUUACUACAGCGCAUGUUCUGCAACACGGCUAUGGAAUGCAACCUGUGAUGCCAGGAAACUCACAGAUAAACUAAAUCAUGUGCCAGAUGUCGAGCACCAAUGUGUUUGGAAGUUCCAUUGUUCUGUGUGCGAACAGUUUUGGAAGUUUGGAUGAAUCAAGUUUCUGAAACUGACUGGAAAGAAACUUAAUUUUCAAAAACUAAGAUUUUAUUGCAAUUCAUGAUACUGUGAAAUAUUUUUAUAAUUGCUGUACAUUCAGCUAAAAGUUACAGUAAAAUUUUCUUGUAAGUUAUGCCUGCAGAAACUUUUGUA
Long non-coding RNA from Schistocerca americana (American grasshopper), 386 nucleotides. RefSeq lists it as uncharacterized. The transcript is spliced from 3 exons. NCBI's taxonomy places the organism in Eukaryota, Metazoa, Arthropoda, Insecta, Orthoptera, Acrididae. The record is from RefSeq and is a predicted model, not a curated record.